UUUUUUUUGUGUUUUUUGUUUUCCUUGUUAAAUUUUUUCUUUUCUAGGUAGUUUUUUUUUGUGUCUUGUGUACAGUUUUGCAUGUUUAUCUUGAUUUUUGGAGUUUGUUUAGGUUGUAGAUGUGUCUUUCACUUCAUUGAUACUAUGAUUUGUUUAAAUCCUUGCUUUUCUUUGCUUGGAAAGAUGAUUAUGAUGUUUAAGAGGUUGAUUGAUUGUGAUAGAAUUACCUUGUGUGAGAUUUGAGCCACUUGAUAUUAUUUCUUGUGUGU
Molecule: long non-coding RNA, 269 nt
Filed under: Vigna radiata
Lineage: Eukaryota; Viridiplantae; Streptophyta; Magnoliopsida; Fabales; Fabaceae
Description: long non-coding RNA (VRAD_LNC016351)
Source: RNAcentral